This 182-nucleotide unclassified non-coding RNA is filed under the name Holtermanniella takashimae. RNAcentral's name for it is "partial internal transcribed spacer region". The stretch from base 1 to 46 matches the Rfam family "Eukaryotic small subunit ribosomal RNA", at positions 1786 to 1831 of the family's 1831-position model. Lineage: Eukaryota; Fungi; Basidiomycota; Tremellomycetes; Holtermanniales. The record is from RNAcentral.
AAGUCGUAACAAGGUAACCGUAGGUGAACCUGCGGAAGGAUCAUUAGUGAAUUGAGCUGGCUUCGGCCGCUCUGAUCUAUACACACCUGUGAACUGUUGGCCUUCGGGUCUUUAAUUACAACUGUGACGAACGUAAAUUAUCAUAACAAAUAAAACUUUUAACAACGGAUCUCUUGGCUCUC